This 960-nucleotide ribosomal RNA is filed under the name Microbacterium barkeri. Its description in RNAcentral is "bacterial SSU rRNA". It matches the Rfam family "Bacterial small subunit ribosomal RNA", at positions 61 to 1034 of the family's 1533-position model. The record is from RNAcentral. Lineage: Bacteria; Bacillati; Actinomycetota; Actinomycetes; Micrococcales; Microbacteriaceae.
GUCGAACGAUGAAGCCCAGCUUGCUGGGUGGAUUAGUGGCGAACGGGUGAGUAACACGUGAGCAACCUGCCCCUGACUCUGGGAUAACAGCCGGAAACGGUUGCUAAUACCGGAUAUGCAUCAUGGCCGCAUGGUCUGUGGUGGGAAAGAUUUUUCGGUUGGGGAUGGGCUCGCGGCCUAUCAGCUUGUUGGUGAGGUAGUGGCUCACCAAGGCGUCGACGGGUAGCCGGCCUGAGAGGGUGACCGGCCACACUGGGACUGAGACACGGCCCAGACUCCUACGGGAGGCAGCAGUGGGGAAUAUUGCACAAUGGGCGGAAGCCUGAUGCAGCAACGCCGCGUGAGGGAUGACGGCCUUCGGGUUGUAAACCUCUUUUAGCAGGGAAGAAGCGAAAGUGACGGUACCUGCAGAAAAAGCGCCGGCUAACUACGUGCCAGCAGCCGCGGUAAUACGUAGGGCGCAAGCGUUAUCCGGAAUUAUUGGGCGUAAAGAGCUCGUAGGCGGUUUGUCGCGUCUGCUGUGAAAACCCGAGGCUCAACCUCGGGCCUGCAGUGGGUACGGGCAGACUAGAGUGCGGUAGGGGAGAUUGGAAUUCCUGGUGUAGCGGUGGAAUGCGCAGAUAUCAGGAGGAACACCGAUGGCGAAGGCAGAUCUCUGGGCCGUUACUGACGCUGAGGAGCGAAAGGGUGGGGAGCAAACAGGCUUAGAUACCCUGGUAGUCCACCCCGUAAACGUUGGGAACUAGUUGUGGGGGCCUUUCCACGGUCUCCGUGACGCAGCUAACGCAUUAAGUUCCCCGCCUGGGGAGUACGGCCGCAAGGCUAAAACUCAAAGGAAUUGACGGGGACCCGCACAAGCGGCGGAGCAUGCGGAUUAAUUCGAUGCAACGCGAAGAACCUUACCAAGGCUUGACAUACACCGGAAACGUCUGGAAACAGUCGCCCUUUUUGGUCGGUGUA